This 253-nucleotide ribosomal RNA is filed under the name uncultured bacterium. RNAcentral describes it as "partial 16S ribosomal RNA". It matches the Rfam family "Bacterial small subunit ribosomal RNA", at positions 524 to 776 of the family's 1533-position model. The record is from RNAcentral.
UACGUAGGGACCAAGCGUUGUCCGGAAUCAUUGGGCGUAAAGAGCUUGUAGGCGGUUUGUCGCGUCUGCUGUGAAAAUCCGGGGCUCAACCCCGGACUUGCAGUGGGUACGGGCAGACUAGAGUGUGGUAGGGGAGACUGGAAUUCCUGGUGUAGCGGUGAAAUGCGCAGAUAUCAGGAGGAACACCGAUGGCGAAGGCAGGUCUCUGGGCCACUACUGACGCUGAGAAGCGAAAGCAUGGGGAGCGAACAGG